GCCAUAAUCAAAAGCACAUUUUGUACUUUGACCGAAUCUGUCAAGCUUUUGCGGCGCAAUUAAAAGUGAUAUGGUUGACAUUGGCGGCAAGUGAUAAGUACCAAUAAAAGAAAAAGGGUUGUACAGUAGUUAUAUAUAAAACCUUUUUUUUUUUUUAAAUAUCAUCAAACAGUGUGUCAACAAACAAAAACAAGAAAGAAAAACAAUCGGCUUCAAGUAUUUUGGGAGAUAAUUAUAGCAGCUGACGCACACUCACUGACAUCAUUAAGUUAAUAGAAAAUAACAUUUUCAUCAGCCAGGUGAUGAAUGGUGGCCAAAAGUAUUGGGACACCAAUUACAAGUAGAAAUGGAAAGAAAAUACGGACAAUGGUCACGGGACACGUUCGGGGCGUGAAAAACAAAACAAUUUGGACAAAAGUGUUUGGACACCCACAGGAAAUGGAAACCGUGAAGAAAAUAUUUGGAAAUCGACCAUAAACUGGACAAACGCUUUGGGAAUGCCGACAGGCCGUUUGGAGAUGAACAGGAAGUGAAAAGAAAUUGCGGUGAAAGUUUUUGGGACAACUAAGUGGGAAAAAAAAGUGUAUUUCGGACAAAAGUAUUGGGACACCAGCAGGAAGUGAAAUAAGUGUGCAAAAAGUUUUGGUACACACAUCGGAGGUGAAUAGUGAUGAAUUUAUGAUAUAUUGAGAAACGUUUUGGGAGAGCGCCAGGACAUUUGACAAAAGUAUUGGGACACAAACAAGGCAUCCGAUAAGCGAUUGAGGAGUUUGGAUCAAAACAUUGGGACUACAGAAAAGGAAAAAUUGAAAGAAACGUGGACUUGGUGGACCAGAUUGAUUGAUUGAUUGAUUGAUUGAUUCACAGAUCGAGAAAAGCCGGGUCCCAAUUUUUACCGCCUUUUCUUUUAUUUCCUUUGCCCAGACCGACUGUCUGCCAUGCAAACGCUUUUGUCCCUUUUCUACCUUUUUGCUUGAGGAGCUUCAAGAAGGGAACGGAAAUAAAACGGCAGAAAAGGGAAAAAAAGUUCCGGAGAUGAAAUGUAGCGAUGCAUCUUGAAGUCAUUGAAACUUUCCUCAUUAAAACGCCCGGCGUCUGCUUGACAAACAGCUGCCGCGCCGUCGAUCAGGUUGGCUUCGCUCCACUGCAACGCGUCUUCAUUACGUCCACGAGCACCCGAGACGUCGCGCUCGUUGCCGUCAAAAGGAACUUCUUCCGAAAACAAGCGACGCCGAUGCGGGAACAGACGCCAGAGGCCUCCUUUGGAGACACUUCAAAGCUUCAAAAGCUCUCGGAGGACUUUUAGUGAGCUGUCGCAAGCUCGCAGUGGGUGGGAGAAACAUGAAAUAAAAAUGACAAAAAAAGACCCCCCCAAAAAA
Molecule: long non-coding RNA, 1379 nt
Organism: Hippocampus zosterae (dwarf seahorse)
Lineage: Eukaryota; Metazoa; Chordata; Actinopteri; Syngnathiformes; Syngnathidae
Exons: 2
Source: RefSeq, a predicted model, not a curated record